CAAACUCACAGAGAUCCACCUGGCCCUGCCUCCUGAGUGCCGGGAUUAAAGGUGUGCACCACCACCACCCGGUGAGCCUAUGAAAUUUUUAACAAAUCGAUCUUAGCAACAUCUUUUUUCUGUCCUUGGAGCUAAUACAAGACAUGUUUCAAGGCAGUGCGAUAAUUUAAAGUUAGCUUCCAUGCUGGAAAUGUCUGAAAAUGUUUGAGAAUACCAUCAUAUUUAAAAUAAAUGAUACACAAGUCUUUUUUAAAAAUUUGAUUUUAAGGUCUUAAUUAAAAAAUGUUUCCAUAGUGUUUUGGGUUUUUAUGCUACUUUUACCUCAGAGCUAAUAACAGAACACUGAGGUAAGAAUGCCCAGUUCUGCCGGAGUGACGAGAAUGGGAAGAAAAUAGAAAUGUUUCCUUAAACGGUCUGUUUAGAAGACAUCUGCGUACUUUUGUUGCUUAUGUGUCUGCUCAUCCGCUCCACCCCCAUGGAAUCUCUGACGUGUUUAGCAUCGUAGGUGGUCUCACCUGCUCACAGUGCAGCAGCGCAUGCGUGCGUCUCUCCAUUCCCAUGCAACAUCUUUGCCACUGUGUUUCAUUGAAGGUUGGCUGCUAAUUGCUCAGGUUAUUACAAUAACCAGACUGCAUUGUAAGAAAAGACAGCGAGCAAAGGGGCUGUUGUUGAAGGCGUCCUUUCCGACAUAGCCUACGUUCUGGGAAUGUAGCUGGGUGAUAGGGUGUUUGCCCGGCAUGGAGGUGCCAUGGGGUCCCCACGUGGCCAGAAAUGAAACAGCAGCCAAAGAGAUUCUGCCCAGCUUUCCGAUUAAAAACAUCUUCAAUGGACUCCGUGACACUUGAGACAGCAGAGGUAGAGUUGGAGAGGAGUGGAGAGGCUACUUUCCAGGUAAGGUCACUGCCCAGAAAAACCAGGACAGCUGAACGGUCUGCUUUAUGGAUAAACUUGUGCUAUGCCAUGGCCAAUUCUGCAGUCACCUGGCCCAGGCUUGUACACGACACAGUUACAUGAGACAUAAUCACCAUAUCAUGAGGUGGCUGUUCGGGUCCUGGGACACAUCCCGCAGAGGAUCUCAGAUAUGACCACGUGAGGACCAGCUGCUCAACCGCCAGGCUUUCUAAGGCACCAGAGUCAGCACCAUGGAAGGUGUCCGGGAACACGAUCUAUAAUGGUUCCCUAAUACCUCUUCUUGUAGGGAAAUCUGGACAAUCUAGGGGGAUUCUUGUAUUCACAAGAGCUUUCAAAUGGUUGAAAUUACUUGAAGAUUUUUAAAAAUUCUCCGUAAGAGGCAGUUAUUGGUCAUCUCUGGGCAUUUUUUUUAACUUUAUGAACCUUGAGUGGGGGAUUUUAGGCAGUGGAACCUGGGGGUGGCCCACAGGAUGGAAGCUGGAGUGUGUCAGCCCUCAGUCCUGCGAUAGAUCCAGCAUUCUGGAUUUCAUAAUAACAAAUUUGUAUUUAGGAAAGUUUCCCCUUAUUCUAAGCUUAUGUUGAGUGAGAAACAACACAGGCUGGGUGGGCAGGGCUAUGGCUUAGUUCACACUGGUCCUAACUAGCAGACCAAAGGAAACUGAACCAGCAGGAAACCUCUGGGUCACAGGUAGGGAAGGUCCAAAUAAACACAGUGUCUGGUUUUAGUGUCUGGAAUCGAUGCUGAAUUGGGAUCCAGCUGACAGAAGGCAGGUUCAGACAAGGUCGACUCCACAAAGUUAAACCCUUCAGCCUCAGUGAGGCCAUGGCCAUACCACUCAGCAUCCGAACUGGGAGGCUCAGGGGGGAAGACCGCAGAUAUUGAUACGGACAUUGAAAUAGCUCUCAUGAGCAAUCAGAACACUCUCAAAGAUCAGAAUAUGGAUAAUAAUGACAAAAAUAAGUGAAUAGGCAGAUGUGUUGGGGGGCAUCUUAAUCCCAGAAUUGGGGACGUAGAGGCAGGAGACCUGUUGCAAGUUUGAGCUCUACAGGGAGUUUCAGGUCAAUCAGAGUUACAGAGCAAGACUGUAUCUCAAAAACCAACCUCUAAAUGAAAAUACUGGCGAGCACAGCUGGAUAGACUCCAUGGCAGGAUGGAGACAAAAGAGAAUCACCAGUCUGAACAGCAGAAAGAAGAGAUGAAAAGAGCUUCAUCGGUGCCCGUGGCAUGGGAGAUGAGAAAGACGGUGAAGGCGUUCAAAGAUGGGAAUGAGCAAUGGCUGGAAACGCAAUCUGAUGAAAGAUAAAACUAGAAGGGUCAAGAUGUUGCGUGAACUCCAUGUGGGAUAAACUCAAAGGGAUGCACUGAGCACCUGCCAUCCUAGCACCGGGAGACUAAGGCAAGAGGACCUGAGUUUGAGGCCACAUCUGGCUAAGUAGUGAGAUCCUGACUCACACAAAUACCCAUCCGGAUGCACCCUCCUCAAGCUGCCGAGAAGUAAGAUACCAGAAGUGCUCAAAGAAGACCGCAUGUUGCACUGACAGUUUGAACGAUGACACAUUCUUCACGGAGAUCCUGGAGGCCAGAGUGAAAAGAAACAUGUCACCUGGGGAUUCUGUAGCCAGAGCGGGGCAUGUUGGCACACACCAUAAUCCCAGCAUGAGGGGAAUUGAGGCAGGACUGCCAUGAGUAUGGGGCCAGCUGAGCUAGAGUGAGACCCUAUCUUAAAGGGGGGGCGUCUGAAAAGACUACAUUUUAUAAUGAGAUAAUACUAAAGAUUACAUUUUAUAAAGAGAUAAUACUAAAAAUGUUUAGCCUAAAGAAAGCAGGUUCAGAGAAGCUGAAAAGCAUUUUAAAAAUGCAAAAGAAGCCAAACAUAUCCGUGUAGACAGUGCCUUUUCAUGUUUCUAUGUCAACAGUGCUGUGACGAUGCCGAGAACUCCUGGGACCCACGUGACUGCAGAACGCGAGCAUCAUGCCCAGAGUGAUACGAGUAAGUGAAGACAGCCUGUGUCUAGCAGCUGUGUCGGACUGAGGCAAAGUCUGUGUGGACGGGCCCAGAGCUGGAUGAGUCGCCUACAGAUAGGAAUCUGAUGGGACUGGUAAGUUCAGGGUAAGAGCUGGACACUAGAGGUUACAGGUGAGAACCAGCCACAACGCAGGAAAGCCUGGUGAUGAUGAAGAGCCAACAGUCAGGAGCUCCAGCUCCCUUCCCCUUCAAUCACUCAAACUCCCAAGGACACAGUAUUACCAAGACACCAAUCCAGUCAAAAAAAAAAAGAAAAAAUAAGAUUAUGCAUUGUAUGUUUGUGGCUGUUGUAGAAUUAAACUAGAAAUUCAUGACAGAAGAUCUGGUCAGGUGGAAAUUAAAUGGCACACAUAUGAAACAUUGCCAAAGAGAAAGUCUCAAAGUUGGAGAAUGUUUUAAAUAAAAGAGAAAUGAAGUUUGGUCAUAUUAAAGUUUGCACAAGAAAAGCAGUACUCAGGAAAUAUUGCUUGUUAGGAAAGCAGGCUUUGCUGGGUGUGGUGAAACAUGCCUUUAAUCUCAGAACUCUUAAGACAGGCAGGUAGAUGGAUCUCUUUGAAUUUGAGGUCAUCCUAGUCUACAUAACAAGUUCUAGGGCUACACAGUGAGAUCCUGUCUCAAACAAAAACCAGACCAGUUUGAUAAUGAUAUACAGUAAGGCAUUUAUGUAUUCAAGAAGAGCUGCAGAGAAAUUUUGUGUGAUCCACCUCUACCCUCCAGCCUCUUUAGCUCAAGAUGGUUUUAAGGUCAUGCCAGCCUCCUGCUGCCCCAGUCUACUGAGAUGGAUGUGUGCCACUGCACCUGGCAGAAGGAUAAUGUGUGUGGUGUGGAGGUGCUGGGGAUCAAAUCCAGGCAGGGCCUCGCACACGUGGAAGGACACACUUUACUACCGAGCCCAAGUUUCCUCAUAAGCAGACUCCUUUGCUAGAGGUAGCGAGUUUGCUGAAAAUGACUACAAAACAACGUAAGAUGUGGAAAAAGAGGCACGUACGCCCUCACCACGGGAGACAGAGUGGAGGUCGAGGGUGAUGUGGAAGCCGAACAAGACAGGCAGGUUGACCUGGGCCCACGGCAGCUCUUGCACUGACCUCGGCUAAGAGCCUUGCAGUCCACAGAGCAGGACAGUGCGGUGUGCGUGAGACACUUGGUUCCACUUUAUUUCCAGAUGACAGUGAGUCCUUCAGGGGUAGCAUUUCAGGUGUGGGUCACAGACACGGUGUAGAAAGGGCAAGAGGGAUUAAAUAAGAAAUGCACUGGCUCUUAGCGCCAGAGUCCUCUGAUACUGAGUCGUGUGUAACCAACACGAUGAGAAAAACACGCUCACAUUCACAAACUGCAUUUCCUGUGAGUUGAAAGAAAAAAGCUUCAUUGAGAGCAGGAUUCUAUCAUGUCACACUGGCUCUGUGCGGGAGGAACGGGCCAGGCUGUGUGCAGCACAAGCUUGGUUUCACGGAACAGGAAGGGGUAGACGUGGGGCGGGGGUCUUUGCAUAUGUGUGGCAUCUAAAGGUCCUGUCCACUGAGUUAGUUUGCAGUGUGGCUGCUGAGCCCUGUCUGCCAGUGUGCACUGCGGCUUCCCCCAUGAAGAUCUGCUUCUGUGCGGGGUAGAAAAGGUGGCAGUAAAGACUCCAGACUCUUCAGGCUCCAGCAGCUGUGCCCCAGAAACCGCCACGGAACCUGAGAAACGUGAAGUGUGGUUAGACACCUGUGUGGCUGGAAAUGCGAAACAACUCACAGCCCAACGGACAGCAUGCAGGGCCUCCAGCACCCACCUGUGUUGCUGGCGUGCCUAGCAGCCACAUUCCUGUGCAUUUGGGGCCUGUGUACGCCGUGGUGACCGUAGCUGUCUCAGGGCAGCGUCUCCAUACUGGAUGCCAGAGCCCAUUCUCUCCGGGUCCAGCUCACCUGAGGACCAAGAAAAUGUCUAAGAGUCUGUAUUCAGGCAAGUGUGAUUGGCAUGCUGUUUAGGGGUGCUGUACUACAGUCUUGCUCCUGCAAGCAGCAGGGGGCACUGUUGAGCUACAGGGUAAAACCCACAGAUGAGGUCAGGGAAGACUGUUACCUGAUUCGAUUUUGUUCAGUAUUUUCCUUGCACACUGCAUGAAAGCCUCUUCGACGUUCUCACCAGUCAGUGCACUCGUUUCCAGGAACAUCAGCUCUAAAAGUGACAUUAAAGGAUACGGUGAGUCACGGUUAGAAGACAGCGAUCUUUACAUUUUUAAUUACUGCAUUUACUCAUUCACUUUGGAGAGAGUGUGAACUAUGGCGCAUGUGUGGUGGGAGAGAACACAUGGUAGGAGUUACUUCGCUCCUUCCACUAUGGGGGCCCCAGGGAUGGAACCUGGUCCUCAGGCCUGGAGGCAAGAGCCUUUGUCCACUGAGCCGUCUUGCUGGCCCAAUGACAGUGACUUUGAACUGCUAACAGCCUGCACAGCAUUCUCAUAGAGUGACAAGCAAAAUUCAGUCCAGUACCUAAAUCUAAUUUCUAUAAACAUAAAAUUAAUAUACAUAAAUCUACAUUUUUUGGUUUUUUUUUUUUUUUUUGAGGUAAGGUUUCAUAUAGUUGAGGCUGGUUUGAACUCUUGAUUUUUACCUCUUCUGUCUCCAGUGCUGGGAUUACAGGUACCAUCACAUCCGGGUACAUUAAUGUAUUAAGUAAUGGGGAAGUCAUUGAAGAAUGAUCAUUAUUAUGCCCUAAUUCCCGAGCUGACAAGAAGUAAGCACACUGGCUAAAACUGUGACCUACGGCCGCAAUUUCCUUCUCCAAGUGAUCUGCAGGUCUCCGUGAACGCAGACACGGAGCUGAUGCGUCACGGCAUUGCACUGCACACAAGCAGGACCCAUGACUGUCCGACCAGACAUAGCCCUGCUGCCCAGGAAAGCCGUCCGGUUUGAAAAUGUGUGCAUUUGGGUAUCCUAGAUACUGUUUACUAAUUUUGCUCUCCUCUAAGCAUUACCAGUUUUAAUUGGGGAGGCUGGGUAGAAGUCUCACUUGAUUUACUUUUACUAUUUUGUGUGCACGGGUGUUUUGUCUGCAUGUAUGUCUGUGUACUACGUGUGUGCCUAGUGCCAAAGGAGGUGGUGGGCUGGGAUUGAACCUGGUCCUUUGCAAAAACAAGUGCGCUUAGCCACUGAGCCAACUCUCGAGCCCUGACGUCAGGCUCCUUUAUCCCCAGAGCAGGGGCUGAUUCCAGUGGAAAGCCCGCUCCGUGCAUUAGCUGCACCACCACUAUUAGCCUCUGGUCUGUCCUGAUAAGGGACUUUCCUCGUUGUACUAAACAGCUCCUGCUUUCUAAGUAGCUCUAAAACGGCGGUUCUCAGCCUGUGAGCUAGGACCACUGGAAAGCAGAUAUUUAGAUUAUGAUUCAUAGCAGUAGCAAAAUUACAGGUAUUAAGUGGCAACAAAAACGAUUUUAUGACCGGGGGUUAGCACAGCAUGAGGAGCUGUAGUAAAGGUUCGCAGCAUUGGGAAGGUCGAGAGCGGCUGCUCUGAAGCACCCCAUGUACUAGUCUGCAUUGGGUCUGUCUUCUUCCUGCCCGCCCCUCCCCCCACUUUUGGAAACAGUUUCCUUCAAGCUUUUAGUAAUCCUUCUGCCUCUGCCUCCUAAAUACAAGGAUUACAGCCCCACCACACUGUGCCUGGCUUAUGUUUAUUUUUUUAGUAAAAACCCAUCAAACUGGGAAAACAGUUUUCUGUCUUUGAGUCCAAACAGAUGUGGCCAUAAGGAUCUAUUAGUGUGAGCUGGCUCUCAGAAUUAAGGCUCUUCCUGAAUGUUUAUCUCUAUAAACAAUGGAUAAUUUUGCAAUGCAGUUUAAACAUUAUUAAUUUUGUUACCUAGUCUACAUAGCGAGUUCUAGGGCAGCCAGGACUACAUACACAGAGUCUGUCUCAAAAAAAAAAAAAAAUCAAACAAAGAUUCGUUACCAUUAAACAAAUGACUUAAUAUAAGAAAAUGAAGCCAGCUUGUCAAGUGUGUCCUUUGCUUCCUUUCUAUGAGGGAUGACUACUUCACCAAUUAUGUUUCAAGGCACAUAAAAUGCAUGCCACCCUAAGAUGGCUAACAUCCCAGAGACCUGAAAGUCCUUACGGAAGGUAAAUACCUUGCUUUCCUCAGCACAUUGGCCUUUGUCCGAGCUGUGCUGAACUGUAUCUAAGUAGACGGGGGAGAUUCCACAGUUUCAUAAGAUGAUUUAAUCUCAAAACUCCACCAGAUGUUUUAAACCCAAAGAAAUGUCACUGUGCCCAGACCCACCCCCUGAUGAGAGGCUAUAAGAGAAGAAGUCACUUGCCGUUCUCUUGUGCGAACCUGGAGGCUUCGAGGAAGGUGACUUCACGGUCAGCAUCCAGGUCCUUCUUGUUCCCGCAGAGGAUGAUGACAAUGUUCUGACUCGCCAGCAUUCUGGCAUCUGUUAACCAAUUAGUAAGCGCAUUGUAGGUUUCUCGGCUGUGUAACAUAAGAUUGUGGAAAUAAUACAUGUAUUUUAUAAAACCAGCAACUCUUUCCAGUCAUCCUCACCAUGCACACUGCUUGUCAACAUUUCAGCAAGGGCAACGGGGCCUCAGAAGUGCCGUGGGAACCCAGUGAUACAUCAGGCCCACAGGCUGUGUUUAGCUUGUGUGACGACAAAGUCCGUGAGUCAGACAGUCUGGGUUCCAAAGGAAAGGGGUCUUUUCAUUCGCUUCACAAAUGCACCUGAGCCCUGAGAAUGUGCAAGGUACACGCCUGACUUGCAACACUCAUCACUGUCACCUGCAGAGUUGUGGGCACCUUGAUCCACAGGAGUCCACCACAUUGACUUUGCAAGGACGCUCCUGCCAUUAGGAGCUGGGGGCUCAGGGACAUGCAGGACUUCCUAGCUCUGUCUACCCAGGACCAACUCAGACCUACAGAUUGGCUCUCACAUUUAAGGACUGGCACAAGUGAUACCACACCCUGGUAGGUUGAGCCUCUCGUGGCACCGGGGGAGAGGAGGGUGGAGUCAGGAGUGUCACCCUCUCAGAAGAGAAAGACAACCAUGCGCUAUUCUCUUUUGGAUCAGAUUCUUCCCAGGAAGGGCCCCUUAGUGGAACCCUCUGGAUCACAUGCUUCCAGGACAAUGUUGCAAAUUCUGAGGCCAGUGCAUUGAUGAAAUAUCCACGAGGACAGGAAUGUGCUGCAAGCUGCGUUGGCCAAUUCUGUGGUUACCAGCCACAUGUGGCUCGGAGGAGUUGAAAUGUGGCCAGAGCAACCCAGGAAGAAGCUAAGUUGUUACAUGCAGCUAGUAACUGCAAUAAGUAUUUCACUAGUUGGUUUAAACCCACCCCCUUCCAUAGCUUUCUGAGGGUUCAAGUAUGUUACCCUCAUCUCAUAGUAGAUGAGGAAACCAAGACCCAAACAGGGAGAUCCAGGCCUACAGAGAUCACAAAGCCCCUGACUCGAGCUGGGAUCUGAACCCAGGUGAUCUGAGCCUGAAUCUGCAUCUUUAGCCCUUUGAUUCACUUCUGAGAACUCACAGAGCCCUGCAGACCUCAAGGAAUAUGUCCCACGUGGUGUGAAGGAGACCAGUAAGGCAGAAGGCUCGUUUCAGCCCCCAAGAGCUCACAAACAAACACUAAAGACCUCUAUGAAUCCCCUGGAAAGGGCCCAGAGGUUUGCUGGGUACAGCCAUGCUGCCUGUCUAGACCCAAGUGAAUCACACGUCUCACCAACAUGGAUGCAGAACACCAAGUAGUCUGUGGUGGGGAGUUGACUUUACCUGGUGAUGUCGUAGACGAGGAGAGCCCCAGCUGCACCUCUGUAGUAGCUUCUUGUCACAGACCUGAAGGAACGACAGGGCUUCUAACAAUCAAGUCCCUUUUCUUCUCCCCAUAAAAACCAUGCUUCCUCUGCAUGUGGUCCAAGUGUCCUUAGCUCUAUGUGGACACCACGCUCCAGGGAACCCUCACAUCUGUCUGCCACUUCCGGGUGUCCUGUGCUAUCUCCUCCCUUCUUCCCAGGAAAAGCCCAAGAUGGGAGCAGCCUAGAUCCCUGCCAGCGGUCCACAUCUACUCUUCACUCUACAAAGACUGGUCUUUUGUCUACUUCACAUUCUCAAUGAUCUGUUUUUCAGUAAAACAUUUUCUCUUCCGUAAUGCCAACUUCUCUCUCUCUCUCUGUGUUUGCUAGUUUGCUUUUUUAACUUUAUUAUUGCAUGUAUGAUGUUGGGGUGAGGCAUGUAUAUAGAAGUCAGACAAGAACUUUGUGAAGUCCUUACUUAUACCUUUGCAUGGGUUCUGGGGAUGAAAUUCAGAUUGCCAGGCUUGCCCAGCUUUUACCUACUGAGUCAUCCUGUUAGAUUUUUUUUUUAAUACUAGCAAAAUAACAUUUGCUUGGGCACCUCCUAUGUCUCACACUAUAUUGCUCAGGCUGGCCUUGAUCCCCUGAACUUAAGUGAUCCUCCUGUCU
Molecule: non-coding RNA, 9360 nt
Organism: Myodes glareolus (Bank vole)
Lineage: Eukaryota; Metazoa; Chordata; Mammalia; Rodentia; Cricetidae
Source: RefSeq, a predicted model, not a curated record